UCGGUAGCCGGACUGAGAGGUUGAACGGCCACAUUGGGACUGAGACACGGCCCAGACUCCUACGGGAGGCAGCAGUGGGGAAUAUUGCACAAUGGGGGAAACCCUGAUGCAGCGACGCCGCGUGGAGGAAGAAGGUCUUCGGAUUGUAAACUCCUGUCCCAGGGGACGAUAAUGACGGUACCCUGGGAGGAAGCACCGGCUAACUACGUGCCAGCAGCCGCGGUAAAACGUAGGGUGCAAGCGUUGUCCGGAAUUACUGGGUGUAAAGGGAGCGCAGGCGGAUUGGCAAGUUGGGAGUGAAAUCUAUGGGCUCAACCCAUAAAUUGCUUUCAAAACUGUCAGUCUUGAGUGGUGUAGAGGUAGGCGGAAUUCCCGGUGUAGCGGUGGAAUGCGUAGAUAUCGGGAGGAACACCAGUGGCGAAGGCG
RNAcentral lists this ribosomal RNA (426 nucleotides) under uncultured bacterium. Its description in RNAcentral is "bacterial SSU rRNA". It matches the Rfam family "Bacterial small subunit ribosomal RNA", at positions 280 to 723 of the family's 1533-position model. The record is from RNAcentral.